Non-coding RNA from Schistosoma rodhaini, 45 nucleotides. The record is from Rfam. Lineage: Eukaryota; Metazoa; Platyhelminthes; Trematoda; Strigeidida; Schistosomatidae.
AUCCAACUGACAAGUCCCAAAUAGGACGAAACUUGCAUCCUGGAU